UACGUAGGUGACAAGCGUUGUCCGGAUUUACUGGGCGUAAAGAGCGCGCAGGCGGUCGAUCAAGUCGCGUGUGAAAGCCCCCGGCUCAACUGGGGAGGGUCACGCGAUACUGAUCGACUCGAAGGCAGGAGAGGGUAGUGGUAUUCCCGGUGUAGUGGUGAAAUGCGUAGAUAUCGGGAGGAACACCAGUGGCGAAGGCGACUACCUGGCCUGUUCUUGACGCUGAGGCGCGAAAGCUAGGGGAGCAAACGGG
RNAcentral lists this ribosomal RNA (253 nucleotides) under uncultured bacterium. RNAcentral's name for it is "partial 16S ribosomal RNA". It matches the Rfam family "Bacterial small subunit ribosomal RNA", at positions 524 to 776 of the family's 1533-position model. The record is from RNAcentral.